GACGAACGCUGGCGGCGUGCUUAACACAUGCAAGUCGAACGGAAAGGCCCUGCUUUUGUGGGGUGCUCGAGUGGCGAACGGGUGAGUAACACGUGAGUAACCUGCCCUUGACUUUGGGAUAACUUCAGGAAACUGGGGCUAAUACCGGAUAGGAGCUCCUGCUGCAUGGUGGGGGUUGGAAAGUUUCGGCGGUUGGGGAUGGACUCGCGGCUUAUCAGCUUGUUGGUGGGGUAGUGGCUUACCAAGGCUUUGACGGGUAGCCGGCCUGAGAGGGUGACCGGCCACAUUGGGACUGAGAUACGGCCCAGACUCCUACGGGAGGCAGAAGUGGGGAAUAGUGCACAAUGGGCGGAAGCCUGAUGCAGCAACGCCGCGUGCGGGAUGACGUCCUUCGGGUUGUAAACCGCUUUCGCCUGUGACGAAGCGUGAGUGGCGGUAAUGGGUAAAGAAGCACCGGCUAACUACGUG
This 468-nucleotide ribosomal RNA is filed under the name uncultured bacterium. RNAcentral's name for it is "partial 16S ribosomal RNA". It matches the Rfam family "Bacterial small subunit ribosomal RNA", at positions 28 to 507 of the family's 1533-position model. The record is from RNAcentral.